AUUUGAGUUUGAUUCUUGCUUUUUGUUUAGUUAUCUUGAUUAAUUUAUAUAUUUAAAAUUAUAAAUAUAGUAUUUAAUAGUAAUUAGAAUUUUUUAAUUUAUAUAAAUAAAUUUAGUGAUUCAUUUUUAUGGUUGAUAAAUUCUGUGCCAGCAUUCGCGGUUAUACAGUUAACUAAAAUUAAAUUUUUUGGUUCUUUAUUGAUUUAUUUGUUAGGAAUUUUAUAUUUUUUAUUUAGGUGGAAUUUAUAAUUAUUUUUUUUUUCUAUUUAUUAAUUUAUUAUACCUUUAUAAUUCAAAAUAGGAUUAGAUACCCUUUUAUGUUUAAAUUUAACUCUAACUUGAAUAAAAGUAGAUUAUUCUUCAUAACUCAAAGAAUUUGGCGGUUAAUCUUAUAUUCAGAGGAACCUGUAUAUUAAUUGAUAAACCACGAUAUUUUCUACUUUCUAUUUAUUUAUAUAUCUCUAUGUAAUGAUUGUUUUUUAAGAAUUAAUUUUCUUUUAGUUUAUUCAAUUAUAUUAGGUCAAGGUGUAGUUUUUAGAAUAGUUUAUAUGGGUUACAUUAGUUUUUAAUUUUAAUUUUAUAUUUAUGAUUAACAUAUAUAUUAUUUAGGAUUUGAUAGUAAUUUGAAUUAAUUAAUUAUUUUGAAAUUUUGUUAAGAUUAGUGUACAUAUUGCCCGUCACUCCUAUUUUAGGAUAAGUCGUAACAUAGUAACCCCACCGGAAGGUGGGGUUAGAUGAUA
RNAcentral lists this non-coding RNA (740 nucleotides) under Maurya qinlingensis. The record is from RNAcentral. Lineage: Eukaryota; Metazoa; Arthropoda; Insecta; Hemiptera; Membracidae.